GCAUAACCCAAUGUGCAUGCUGAGGAGGCCUCACGCCAGUUUAGGCUCUCCAGUAUCUCCCACUGAGCUACUCUGUCCCCGACUUAGAGGACCAGGAGAAGGGGGAGCUGGAGGCUGGAGCCUGCCACACCGUGGCUCGUCUCACUCUGGAUGGUGGUGGCAACAGAGAUGGCAGUGUGGCUGGAGUUUUAGGAGGGCGGCCUGAGCCGUAGGAGGGGGCUGGAGCAGUAACAUGGCGGCCUGAGCGGUUGAGCCCUGGGCACUGUGGUGUCUCCAGUCCCCACCCCAGGUCAGGAGGCCAGCUUGGUCUAGGAGGAGAGGCUGGACUUUGGAGGGUUUUUCUGGCAUUGUCUGCCCAGCUGCUCCAAGCCAGGCUGAUGAAGGAGGAGUCCCCUGUGGUGAGCUGGAGGUUGUAGCCUGAAGAUGGCACAGCUCUGUGAUUCAUCUCCUGCGGUUGUGGCGGCCACGGUGAUGGAGACUGCAGCUCAACAGGAGUGUCCUGUGGCUGCUGCAACAAAUUACCACACACUUAGUGACUUAAAACAACCAAAAUGUAUUCCCUUACAAGUCUGAAGGCCAGAAUUCUACAGUAAGUCCUUCUGAGUCAAGGUGGGAGCAGGGUUGGUGGCUUCUGAGGCUCUGCGGGAGAAUCUGUUUCCUGGCCGUAGAGGUGGCCUGCACUCCUCAGCUUGUGCUGCCCGUCUUGAAUGACUGGAGUUUCCUGCUUCUGUCACUACACCUCCCACCCUCUCCAUCACCUGCUCUGCUCUUACAAGGAUCCGAAGAAAUGGAAUCAUCGUAUCGCUGAUCUAUGUAAACAAACUGAAGAAUUGUCUGAAAGAAAAUAUGACAUGAACUUAUGAAUUCAACAGGUGAAGAUUUACAACUUGAUAAAUCAACUGUCAGCUCGAGCUGUAAAAGCCAAAGGUCCGGUGAUGAUCCCAUACCCUUUUUUCCAGUCUCAUGUUGAAGAUUUUUAUGUAGAAGGCCUUCCCAAAGGAAUUUUUUUUUUUUUUUUUUUUGAGAUGGAGUUUUCACUCUUAUCGCCCAGGCUGGGGUGCAAUGGCG
This 1068-nucleotide long non-coding RNA is filed under the name Homo sapiens (human). RNAcentral describes it as "non-protein coding lnc-OR4F3-5:1". The record is from RNAcentral. Lineage: Eukaryota; Metazoa; Chordata; Mammalia; Primates; Hominidae.